Molecule: ribosomal RNA, 1101 nt
Filed under: Triticum aestivum (bread wheat)
Lineage: Eukaryota; Viridiplantae; Streptophyta; Magnoliopsida; Poales; Poaceae
Description: partial small subunit ribosomal RNA
Source: RNAcentral
UACAUACUGGCCACCCGGCGAAGCAGCCACCCCAGCAGUACGUAACCGACCCAAACGGCGGCGGGCGGGCGUGGGGAGGGAGGAGGGAGCAGAGUCGGCGGUGGGGGUGCUUGGGAUCAACGCGGGAGGACGUAGGAGGGGAGGGACCAGGCGGGGUUCUAGGAGGAGGAGGCAGGAGUGUACGAGGUGGGACUCGUGCGGCAGCCGCUCCGCGUGGCGUUCCGGGGCCUCGUUGAGUCGGUCUCGGGGAGGCAUGUCCUCCUUGGGGCGCCGGUCGCGUUGGUUGUUGCCACCGCGUAUGUUCUCGAGCCGGAACUACCCGGCGCGCGACAUGCGCUCCCAGUGCAGGCGCGACCUCCCGUCGUUGCUCGUGUACCACACCAUGUUCCUCCACGCGUCCCUCUUCCACGUGCCGAGGCGGAUCGUGGUAAAGUACAAGUAACGGAACGACACCAACGUGGCACCCCAACAAUACGAGACAGGGAGCUCCUUCUUUAUCUUCAACUCCCCUUCGAUAACGUACGACCCUUUAGUCAACCACAACAGAUACAACCAAAGGCCUUCUUUUCCUGGCCGUUUAACUACCGAGUCCGUGCAGCAUGUUUCAUGGAACGAUACAACUAAGCUCUUCUCUUUCCUCAACAGCCGCACCACACCACGCUCUGGAAACAGGGCCUCGUACGUCUAACAGUCAUAUUUUAUUCCAUAAAAUUACAAAAUCACAAGAGGUUGACGUCGCCGGUACAGCACUGACGGCACAACUCAAGAACGUGUUCGUGUUGGAGAUCGGGUUAUAUAUGGCCUAACUCAUGACGUGAAAAUUGAAUAUAUGGUACCAGCACGGACUACUAACGACAGUACGAAACCUAGGGUUUUUAAUACGUGUUGCUGUAACCGUAGUAUCUGUUCAGCAAACCCGAAGUUUGACGUCACCCCUAACGAGUCGUCCGCUAGCUACGCCGUGUACACCUCCAACACUCGAAACACUUACCGUAGCCAGAACAGUUUGAAUCCCCGUCCUAGCGACCAUUCCUCAAUAAGGUGCCUGACUACUGGUCUUAGUUCUCGUCCUACUCAGACCGUUGACAGGACGUACCAAUU